This 484-nucleotide ribosomal RNA is filed under the name uncultured bacterium. Its description in RNAcentral is "partial 16S ribosomal RNA". It matches the Rfam family "Bacterial small subunit ribosomal RNA", at positions 30 to 507 of the family's 1533-position model. The record is from RNAcentral.
AUUGAACGCUGGCGGCAGGCCUAACACAUGCAAGUCGAGCGGAUGAAGGGAGCUUGCUCCUGGAUUCAGCGGCGGACGGGUGAGUAAUGCCUAGGAAUCUGCCUGGUAGUGGGGGAUAACGUCCGGAAACGGGCGCUAAUACCGCAUACGUCCUGAGGGAGAAAGUGGGGGAUCUUCGGACCUCACGCUAUCAGAUGAGCCUAGGUCGGAUUAGCUAGUUGGUGGGGUAAAGGCCUACCAAGGCGACGAUCCGUAACUGGUCUGAGAGGAUGAUCAGUCACACUGGAACGGAGACACGGUCCAGACUCCUACGAGAGGCAGCAGUGGGGAAUAUUGGACAAUGGGCGAAAGCAUGAUCCAGCCAGGCCGCGUGUGUGAAGAAGGUCUUCGGAGUGUAAAGCACUUUAAGUGGGGAGGAAGGGCAGUAAGUUAAUACCUUGCUGUUUUGACGUUACCAACAGAAUAAGCACCGGCUAACUUCGUG